AUAUGAAACGAUUACAAUAAGAAAGAAAAGAAAUGUAUAUUUUUUAAAAAAGGAUUUUUAAUAUUUUUAAAUAUCCAAUUUUAAAAAUAUACAUUUCUUUUCUUUUUUUUUAAUGUACUUUUUUUAUAAAAUAGUAAAAAUAUUUAAAAUAUUAUUAUUACUUUUUAUAAAAAAAGUACAUUAGAAAAUUUGAUAUUACAUAAAAUUAUUUUUUUUAUAAAGAUAAUUUUUGUGUAGUAUCAAAUUUUCAUCAACAAUAUUCAAUUCUCAAUAUUUUGCAUAAUUGUUUGUUUUAUAUAUUAUAUAUUAUAUACAUAUAUAUAAUAUUUUUGUAUGUUAAUUAUAUAUUGAAGAAAAGUAUAUUUAAAAUAUAAUAUUUAUAAUUACAUUUAAUUCUUAAGUAUAAUAAUUAAUAGCA
Plasmodium blacklocki (nom. inval.) is the source of this 418-nucleotide non-coding RNA. The record is from the annotation of a GenBank genome assembly. NCBI's taxonomy places the organism in Eukaryota, Apicomplexa, Aconoidasida, Haemosporida, Plasmodiidae.